AACGAACGCUGGCGGCAUGCCUAACACAUGCAAGUCGAACGAGACCUUCGGGUCUAGUGGCGCACGGGUGCGUAACGCGUGGGAACCUGCCCUUAGGUUCGGAAUAACUCCCUGAAAGGGGUGCUAAUACCGGAUAAUGUCUUCGGACCAAAGAUUUAUCGCCUUUGGAUGGGCCCGCGUUGGAUUAGCUAGUUGGUAGUGUAAAAGCCUACCAAGGCGACGAUCCAUAGCUGGUCGGUGAGGAUGAUCAGCCACGCUGGGACUGAGACACGGCCCAGACUCCGACGGGAGGCAGCAGAGGGGAAUAUUGUACAAUGAGCGAUAGCCUGAUCCAGCAGUGCCGCGUGAGUGAUGAAGGCCUUAGGGUUGUAAAGCUCUUUUAGCCGGGAUGUUAAUGACAGUACCGGGAGAAUAAGCACCGGCUAACUCCGUG
This 433-nucleotide ribosomal RNA is filed under the name uncultured bacterium. RNAcentral's name for it is "partial 16S ribosomal RNA". It matches the Rfam family "Bacterial small subunit ribosomal RNA", at positions 29 to 507 of the family's 1533-position model. The record is from RNAcentral.